GACUACAUGAAGCUGGAAUCGCUAGUAANCGCGGAUCAGAAUGCCGCGGUGAAUACGUUCCCGGGUCUUGUACACACCGCCCGUCACACCAUGGGAGUCGGAAAUGCCCGAAGUCAGUGACCCAACCGUAAGGAGGGAGCUGCCGAAGGUGGAGCCGGUAACUGGGGUGAAGUCGUAACAAGGUAUC
This 187-nucleotide ribosomal RNA is filed under the name uncultured bacterium. Its description in RNAcentral is "partial 16S ribosomal RNA". It matches the Rfam family "Bacterial small subunit ribosomal RNA", at positions 1314 to 1500 of the family's 1533-position model. The record is from RNAcentral.